GCGAGUGAAGCGGCAACAGCUCAAAUUUGAAAUCUGGCUCCUUUGGGGUCCGAGUUGUAAUUUGUAGAGGGUGCUUCGGGCACGAUGCCGGUCUAAGUUCCUUGGAACAGGACGUCGUAGAGGGUGAGAAUCCCGUAUGCGACCGGCGAUCAAGCCCGUGCGAAGCCCCUUCGACGAGUCGAGUUGUUUGGGAAUGCAGCUCAAAAUGGGUGGUAAAUUUCAUCUAAAGCUAAAUAUUGGCCAGAGACCGAUAGCGGACAAGUAGAGUGAUCGAAAGAUGAAAAGCACUUUGGAAAGAGAGUCAAACAGUACGUGAAAUUGUUGAAAGGGAAGCGCUUGCAAUCAGACCGGUCCGGAGGCGAUCAGCCGCUGCUCGUCAGCGGUGCACUCGCCUGCGAUCCGGCCAGCAUCGGUUUGGGCGGCGGGAUAAAAGUCCCGGGAAUGUAGCUUCUCCCGGGGAGUCUUAUAGCCCGGGUCGCAAUGCCGCCCGCCCGGACCGAGGACCGC
RNAcentral lists this ribosomal RNA (507 nucleotides) under Sticta sp. RL-2013m. RNAcentral's name for it is "eukaryotic LSU rRNA". It matches the Rfam family "Eukaryotic large subunit ribosomal RNA", at positions 89 to 502 of the family's 3401-position model. Lineage: Eukaryota; Fungi; Ascomycota; Lecanoromycetes; Peltigerales; Lobariaceae. The record is from RNAcentral.